This 548-nucleotide ribosomal RNA is filed under the name uncultured bacterium. RNAcentral's name for it is "partial 16S ribosomal RNA". It matches the Rfam family "Bacterial small subunit ribosomal RNA", at positions 355 to 920 of the family's 1533-position model. The record is from RNAcentral.
UGGGGAAUAUUGGACAAUGGGCGCAAGCCUGAUCCAGCAAUGCCGCGUGAGUGAUGAAGGCCUUAGGGUUGUAAAGCUCUUUCGCACGCGACGAUGAUGACGGUAGCGUGAGAAGAAGCCCCGGCUAACUUCGUGCCAGCAGCCGCGGUAAUACGAAGGGGGCUAGCGUUGUUCGGAAUUACUGGGCGUAAAGGGCGCGUAGGCGGCCUGUUUAGUCAGAAGUGAAAGCCCCGGGCUCAACCUGGGAAUAGCUUUUGAUACUGGCAGGCUUGAGUUCCGGAGAGGAUGGUGGAAUUCCCAGUGUAGAGGUGAAAUUCGUAGAUAUUGGGAAGAACACCGGUGGCGAAGGCGGCCAUCUGGACGGACACUGACGCUGAGGCGCGAAAGCGUGGGGAGCAAACAAGAUUAGAUACCCUGGUAGUCCACGCCGUAAACGAUGAAUGCUAGACGUCGGGGUGCAUGCACUUCGGUGUCGCCGCUAACGCAUUAAGCAUUCCGCCUGGGGGAGUACGGCCGCAAGGUUAAAACUUAAAUGAAUUGACGGGGUC